CUCGUAGGCGGCCAACUAAGUCAUACGUGAAAUCCCUCAGCUUAACUGGGGAACUGCGUGUGAUACUGGAUGGCUUGGAUUUGGGAGAGGGAUGCGGAAUUCCAGGUGUAGCGGUGAAAUGCGUAGAUAUCUGGAGGAACACCGGUGGCGAAGGCGGCAUCCUGGACCAAUAUUGACGCUGAGGAGCGAAAGCUAGGGAGCAAACG
RNAcentral lists this ribosomal RNA (206 nucleotides) under uncultured bacterium. Its description in RNAcentral is "partial 16S ribosomal RNA". It matches the Rfam family "Bacterial small subunit ribosomal RNA", at positions 568 to 774 of the family's 1533-position model. The record is from RNAcentral.